This is a long non-coding RNA of Pezoporus occidentalis (night parrot), 1617 nucleotides long. RefSeq lists it as uncharacterized. The record is from RefSeq and is a predicted model, not a curated record. NCBI's taxonomy places the organism in Eukaryota, Metazoa, Chordata, Aves, Psittaciformes, Psittacidae. The transcript has 4 exons.
UGCUACAGAUAGCCCUGCCCCACUCACACAUAAGCUUCAAGUGAAGAUGUUCUUUAAGCACAUUAGUGAUCCAAAGAACAUUUUUGCCACUGUAUGGUGGAUUUAAACUAAAUGAAUGUUUAUUUGUCAUACUUAGUGUGUAGGAGGAUGGGAUUAAGCUGCAUAAUGAGCUAAGAUGCAGCAUUUCUGUUUUAUUUUUUUAGCUGGUCCCAGUGUGUGACUGGAGAUUUGAAAAAUGUCUUUCUUGGUCAGUGAACUUCAAACACAGGUUAGGUUUUCAGUGAGAACUGACGCACUUUGGUGUGUUUGAAAAGUGUUUUUUUUCCUUUUUUUUUUUUUUUUUUUAGGUAACAAAGUUAUAUCAAGAUAUAAAUGCUGCAUUUCUUUCAACUCUCUUCUACCAACAGGGAACAUAGGAGCAAAGAAUAAAACAUUCUGGAAGCUGGAAAAACAGGGCAGUUAAAAGCACCACCAGUUCUGAAUCCCUCUAGAAACUGUGCUUCAUCUUCUGUCUAUCACAAUGACUGCAACUUUUCCUUACCUACACCUUCCUCUUCAAGAUCUAUCUUAAAAUGAAAAAAGGAGAAUGAAGAUAAACUUUAUGAAAUAAAGUCAAUAUGAGAACAUCUUUAAAGAACUGAAAGGAGAAUCAAGCUUCACAGUCUUCUGGCAGGUUAAAGGAUGACAGACAUUCCCUCUACUGGAGCUGUUUCCCCUCAUGCUGCUAAUGAAGAUGUGAUGCAGUGAGGUAACCACAGGACACUUGUGCCUUGAAUGCAAACAUCAGCCUAUGCUAUAUGCAAGCUAGCAAAUACCAGAAAGAAUUAGGAAAAGAGAGGUUUUGGUGUGUGUGGAAAGAAGCUUUCAAAUAGCAUGUUUGCAGCAGCAGGGGCUCAGCCUUGCUUUGUUUCUGUAGCCCUUGAGAAGGCUGAGCACCCACUGAUCCUACUGGUUGCCUUGGGAAUUGAAGAUGCUCAGUGUUUCCCAGAUGAGAGGUGAGUUUGGUUUUCCCAGUAGGGUUGAGUCAGUGAACUCUGAGCUUCCCGUGCAGGAGAGAAUAAACGCACACUCCUCUAGCUGUCCUAUUCCCCUGUAUUAAUUACCCCUGUCAUAGGGAAGUACCCUCCUGGCAUACCUCCAGUUAUGCUCUCCCAGUCGCCUCCUGUGGCAGCCAGGGAGAAAUGCUGCUUGGAGCUUAUUCAUUGCUGGAAUGCAGUUAGCGUGUAGUAAAACCUGGAUUUUGCCAGUCAGUGAUUUCUCUGCUCACAGGCAUGGUUUUACUUGGACAUAGAAGCAUGCUGGCACUGGAGGAGUGAAGUUGCUGUGCAUGUGCUAAGUGACCAAUUUGUGUAACAAAGAAAAAUAACGAAGUGCCUUUGGUGAAGGCCAUUAUAAGGAAAUCUAUAUAUGAAUUGCUAUCCUUUAUUUUAAGACCAUUUUGGACGCUGUCCAGGAUAGCAGACAAAUUUGACCAAGUUUGCUCAACUGCAUAAAUAAGGAAGGAUUUUAUACCCAAGAACAGAUGAGCAGCAGAGGUUCGGUAUGUGGUUUAAGCCCAGAUCAUUUGCUGCUGCCCUCCCCACAGUUCCCUCUCUGUCUGCCAAGUUUAUCGACUUA